RNAcentral lists this ribosomal RNA (956 nucleotides) under unidentified marine eubacterium. Its description in RNAcentral is "bacterial SSU rRNA". It matches the Rfam family "Bacterial small subunit ribosomal RNA", at positions 42 to 1055 of the family's 1533-position model. The record is from RNAcentral.
GCAGGCUUAACACAUGCAAGUCGAACGAUAUAGUGGCAGACGGGUGAGUAACGCGUGGAAACGUGCCUUUCACUACGGAAUAGCUUUUGGAAACGAAAGGUAAUACCGUAUACGCCCUCCGGGGGAAAGAUUUAUCGGUGAAAGAUCGGUCCGCGUUAGAUUAGCUAGUUGGUGAGGUAACGGCUCACCAAGGCUACGAUCUAUAGCUGGUCUGAGAGGAUGAUCAGCCACACUGGGACUGAGACACGGCCCAGACUCCUACGGGAGGCAGCAGUGGGGAAUAUUGCACAAUGGGCGCAAGCCUGAUGCAGCCAUGCCGCGUGAAUGAUGAAGGCCUUAGGGUUGUAAAAUUCUUUCGCCAAGGAUGAUAAUGACAGUACUUGGUAAAGAAGCCCCGGCUAACCUCGUGCCAGCAGCCGCGGUAAUACGAAGGGGGCUAGCGUUGUUCGGAAUUACUGGGCGUAAAGCGCACGUAGGCGGACUUUUAAGUCAGAUGUGAAAUCCCAAGGCUCAACCUUGGAACUGCAUUUGAAACUGGGAGUCUAGAGAUCAGGAGAGGUUAGCGGAAUACCGAGUGUAGAGGUGAAAUUCGUAGAUAUUCGGUGGAACACCAGUGGCGAAGGCGGUUAACUGGACUGAUACUGACGCUGAGGUGCGAAAGUGUGGGGAGCAAACAGGAUUAGAUACCCUGGUAGUCCACACCGUAAACGAUGAGUGCUAGUUGUCUGCAGGCAUGCCUGUAGGUGACGCAGCUAACGCAUUAAGCACUCCGCCUGGGGAGUACGGCCGCAAGGUUAAAACUCAAAGAAAUUGACGGGGGCCCGCACAAGCGGUGGAGCAUGUGGUUUAAUUCGAAGCAACGCGCAGAACCUUACCUACGCUUGACAUGCCCGGACGAUUUCCAGAGAUGGAUCUCUCCCUUCGGGGCCGGUGCACAGGUGCUGCAUGGCUGUCGU